Molecule: ribosomal RNA, 253 nt
Filed under: uncultured bacterium
Lineage: Bacteria
Description: partial 16S ribosomal RNA
Rfam family: Bacterial small subunit ribosomal RNA
Source: RNAcentral
UACAGAGGGUGCAAGCGUUGUUCGGAAUCAUUGGGCGUAAAGGGCGUGUAGGCGGUUUGUUAAGUCAUGUGUGAAAUCCCUCGGCUCAACCGGGGAACGACGCAUGAAACUGGCAAGCUAGAGUACCAAAGAGGGGGGUGGAAUUCCUGGUGUAGCGGUGAAAUGCGCAGAUAUCAGGAGGAACACCGAUGGCGAAGGCAGGUCUCUGGGCCACUACUGACGCUGAGAAGCGAAAGCGUGGGGAGCGAACAGG